Molecule: long non-coding RNA, 4902 nt
Organism: Bos grunniens (domestic yak)
Lineage: Eukaryota; Metazoa; Chordata; Mammalia; Artiodactyla; Bovidae
Source: Ensembl
AUGGGGCCUUCAGCGGCAGAGGUACGCUUCCCGGAGAGUGCAUCCUCGGGUUCUAAAGGGUGGGCGCAGACCCCCACCGCUAAGCCGGCCCGGGCGCGAGGGGUCUCCGAGAGGAACACCCGGGCCCCGGCCGGGGAGGCCCCUGAGCACCGCAAGGCGGCGGUCCCAGGCGGACCCCGGGUGGGGGGACGCGGACCCCGCCCCCUCAGCCGGCCCGGCCGCCUGGAGUGUGUCCCGGGGAGCGGCCGGGCCUUCUCCCCGCCGGGCCUGGCCACCCUGGCGGGGGGGACUCCUGGGGGCCAGCGCGGACCCCGCCCGACCCGGGUCCCCAGGGAGAGGGCGCAGGGAAAGGCGGGGGCGCGGAGGCCGGCCUCGGGGAGCCGCCUCCGGCUGCUCCCAGUCCCCUACGCGAGAGGGCCCGGCGGGGCCCCAAGCCGGCGGCCCCAGGCGGCGCGAGGCUGCGGGCCCGGCGGGGGCAGGAGCGGGCCCGGCCGCCGGUCGGUACUCACCGGCACGACAUCUUGGCCGCCGCUCCCGGGGCCCGGGCGGGCAGCGGCGCCGGCAGGCGGGGCGCUCAGUCCGCCGCGCUCAGCGCCCCCAGCGCGGUCCCGGCGCUCUCUGGGCUCCUGCGCGCUCCCGGCGCAGGGUCCCGGCGCUCUCGGGGCUCCUGCGCGCUCCCGGCCGCCGGACUGUCCGGGCGCCCCAGCCCGCGCCGCGCAUGCGCUGCCCGCGCCGCCCCUCCCCCUCAGGGCUCCCCGGCCCGCGGCCGCGUUAAAGGAGAGGACCCCGAACCCGGGGUUUUUCUGUCGGCCCAACGCGGCGACGGGGCUCGGUCUCCGCCCUUUACCCAUCCGUCAGGGACCACCUUGAGGCGCACCAUCUCCUGGCUGCCUGCCGCUCUGGAAGCCUGAACGCCCACCCCGCCCCCAACCCCACUUUGCCCAGCCCAGGGCUCUGGGCGCCUGCCCGGUUCUCUGGCCGGGCUCCCAGCCCCUGCGUCUGAGGACGAUUGCAAGUCAACCGAUCAGGGCUCCUAGAAACCCUUCCCGCUCUCCUCGCUGAAGGUGGGACCCCUCCCCACCCCCAGGCAGCGAGGCCCGACGUUCCUCCCUGGCGCUGCGCCCCCCUGACUGCCCUUCCCCAGGGAUGCGGAGCGCCCGACCCCCCGGAAACAGCCUGGCUGAUCCAGGUCAUCGAACAGAGCUGGCCUGGGUUCUGGGGAAGAUCCUGCCUCCUGCUUAUCCCCGCUAAAGGGCCGGCCCUGCCCCAGAGCCCGGGCUUCAGACACAGAAGACAGACGUUCCAGGGCCUGAGCCUUCCUUUCUCUGGGUUAACCCCCCAGUUUCUUCAGCUGUUGCACAGCUGCCCUGGUGCCCAAGUCUGGGCACAUACUUGAGCAUCUUAGCUGCUCCCCAUCCCCUGCCAGGUAGGCCUUGCUGUCCCCACGGUUACUUCUAACAGACUGAGGCUCUGAGCCCCCUCAGCUACCAGAAGGCACUACCGGGGGUCUGACCACUCUGUUCUGCUUCCCACCACAUACAAACUGUCCCCGCUCCGGGGGGGCCCUUCCCGGACUAGAGGCGGCAGGCAGGGCCACAGCAAGCAGAGGGGGGUCUGGGGUGACAGCUGCCACCCCCUCAAAGGGCCUUCUGUGUGUGUCUGGCAGGAGGUCCUGCCCGCGCCCACCCGCCCGCAUCCAGCUGGCCCGGGGCUCCUGAGCUGGAAGCCGCAGUUCAGUGUGGCGCCGGCGCGCUGUCUCAGAGGUCCCCCCACCCCUCCCUACCCUGACACUGCCCCAGCCCCGCCUUCUUGCUGGAGCCUGGCUCCACCCCUUCUUUCUUUCCGAGUCUGUCUGAAUUCUUAUCGCCCACUGUUCCUGUGUCCUCUCCCGGCCAGGGUACCGGGAAAUGGAAACCCAGCAGAGGGGUGCGGUUGGGCCACAAUCUCCAAAACCAUCCGUGCCUCCGACCGACCCCCUGUGACUACUUUCCCGGAAAGGCCAUCACAGGCUCAUGCUGGAAGAGAGAACACAGGCCAGACCCUCCCUCACUCCGAGGCAGGGACCCAGGGCCUUGGGUGUGGGGUUGGGAGCAGCCAGAGGGGCCCCAUCAGUGCGCUGAGCAGCCAGCAGGACCAGGCAGGACCAGGUCUGUGAGAAAACAGCGGCUGCUCCCGCUCGCCACCGCCCAACACCCCCUCACUACCCAGCCGGCAAAUGAUCCCCCGGUGACUCCCUCGGUGCUGCAGAGAACAGGUUCUGGGCACCCCACAACUAGCAGUUUACACCGGGCUAUCUGAGCAGGCACCAGCACCCUGGGAGUGUCCUCAGAGUUUGCCAGGGACCCAGGGAGACAGGGGUUCCCGUUGCUCCUGGCACUUGGAUGGAAGGGAAUUUGGACAUGGCCAGAGUGUCUUCUCAAGUGGUUCAGGUGGUAAAGAAUCCACCUGCCAAUACAGGAGACACAGGUUCGAUCCCUGGAUGAAGGAGAUCCCCUGGAGGAGGAAAUGGCCACCCACUCCUGUAUUCUUGCUGGGAAAAGACAGAGCAGACUGAUGGGCUACAGUCCAUGGAGUCAAAAAGGAAUUGGACACAACUUAGCAAAUGAACGCACACUCAGACACAAAGUCUGGGCAAAGACAAGCUUCAUACCCAGUUCUCUAGACACUCAAACCCAGCCUCUGUGCCCCGGGCUUUGCCAGAGGAUUGCCAGCCUAGGAGAGUGGAUUUGGAGGCACCAGCAGGCACUGUGUAAUGAUCCUACACUGGUCACCAUUGAUGAACCAACAAUGAUACAUACAUGCUUACUAACUGAAGUCCACACUCUACUCAGAUUUCCUUCCUUCUCCCUUCUGUCCUUUUCCUGUUCCAGGAUCCCACCAGGAAUCCCACAUUACAUGUAGUCAUCAUGUCUCCUUAGGCUUCUCUGGACUGUGACCGUUUUUCAGACUUUCCUUAUUUUUGAUGACCUUGACAGAUAUGAAGAGUAUUGGUCACAGAUUUUAUACAAUGUCCCUCAACUGGGAUUUGUCUGAUGUCUUUCUCACAGUUAGGUUGGAGUUCUGAGUUUUUAGGAGGAAGAUAAAAUGACAUAACCUCCCAGCGUCCUUGCAUGGGAAAUAUGAACAGAGGAGCCUGGCAGGCUACAGUCCAUGGGGUCACAAAAGAAUCGGACACAAAAGAGUUUGUUUGUAAAAUGACAUUCUCAACACAUCAUUUCAAGGAUACAUAAUAUUAAUAGGAUUUACUCUUGCCAAUGUGAUGUUGACCUUGAACUCCUGACCGAGACAGCAUUUGUCAGGUUAUUCUACUAAAAAGUGACUCUUUUUUUCUUCAGUUUUCAACAAUGUACCCUUUGAAAAGAAGUGAGGAGUUAUGUUCCACCUCUUUGAUGAUAGAGUAUCUACAUCAAUUAUUUGUAUUUCUUCUGUAUGGGAAAUUGUGCCCAUUAUUUAUUUAUUUAUUCAAUCAUUUAUAUCAGUAUGAAUUUAUGGAUAUUUAUUUUACAUCUUGGAUUAGAAUCCAAUAAUACUUUAUUUUCUUCUUCAAAUUGUUCCUCUUUGGCUGGGUUGAGUUCUUUCAGUUAGUGAAUCGGAUUUUUCAAGUGAAUCUAGAAAUCCAGAUUGUUUUAUAAAAUCUCUAGGUUUUGACACAUUGACUGUGUAAGGCAAUGCUUCUUCCUGCCAACUCUGGCAGCUCUAAGUCCUGGAGUAGGAUUAUCUGCUUUGAACCCUGCUCCUCUGCUUGUGGGCUUCCCAGGUGGCUCAGUGGAAAAGAAUUCAUCUGCAGUGCAGGAGAUGCGGGUUGGAUCCCUGGGUUGGGAAAAUCUCCGACAGAAGGAAAUGGCAACCCACUGCAGUAUACUUGCGUGGGAAAUCCCACGAACAGAGGAGCCUGGCAGGCUACAGUCCAUGGGGUCACAAAAGAAUUGGACACAAAAGAGUUUGUUUGGGGGAGACCUAGAAAGACACUUCAGGGUUGGAGGUGGCUGGCAGGACCCUGUGAGCCCCGGGGUUGAUACGAAGGAGCAUCGCCCCAAGCAUAGUUUUCAGCAGGAGAGUUGAGCUCCGCUACUCUGUAGUAAUACCAUAGCAACCUGCAGUAUCAGUGCCGGUUGUCCUGUCUCACUCAUGCUAAAGUGUGAAUGACUACUUCUCUUUAGGAAGGCAAGUCAGAUUGGAACAGAAAAGAGGUUCAGUUGAGUGGAGUGGGUGGGGGGCCUCACUAGCCUGCCAGGCUAGACCUUGGGGUCUGGUCCUGGCACCACCUCACACUUACCAAGUGACCUUAAGCAAGUCCAGUUUACAACAAGGGUAAUUUCAUAGUCUGGUCAAGGACGGGCCCCCAGGGUAGGGCUUCUCUUUGUCUGUCCUCGUGCACAGAACCUUGGGUAUGCUCUGCUGGAGGGCCUCUGGUUAGGGGAGAGAGUGAGGUUCAUGUCAUCAGGCUGCUGGGCCGAGAGGGAGACCCUCAUCCCUGAGACAAUGAAGUUUUAGGACCUGGUAGCAAGAGGAAGAUGUACUAGUUUCUUAUUGCUGCUGUAACAAAUUACCCCAAACUUAGUGGCUAAAACAACAUGAAUUUAUUACCCUCCAGUUCUUGAAGUCAGAAGUCCAAAAUGGGUUGAGAGGGCUGCAUUCCUUCUGGGGGCUCUGGGGAGAACCCCUUUCCUUACUUUUUCCCUUGCUUGAGGCUGCCUGCCUUCCUCGGCCUGUGGCUCCGCGUCACUCAGACUCUGCUUCCAUCAUCACAUCUCCUUCUCUCACUCUGGCCCUUCUGACCUCCUCUUAUAAGCUUGAGAUUACACUGGGCCCACUCAGGGAAUCCAGGAAAAUCUCCCCAUUUCAAGAUGGUUAAUUUAAUCACAUGUGGCAAAGCACAUUUUGUCUUAUAAGGUAACUCAG